GAUCCUGGCUCAGGAUGAACGCUAGCUACAGGCUUAACACAUGCAAGUCGAGGGGCAGCAUGGUCUUAGCUUGCUAAGGCUGAUGGCGACCGGCGCACGGGUGAGUAACACGUAUCCAACCUGCCGUCUACUCUUGGCCAGCCUUCUGAAAGGAAGAUUAAUCCAGGAUGGCAUCAUGAGUUUCACAUGUCCGCAUGAUUAAAGGUAUUUUCAGGUAGACGAUGGGGG
RNAcentral lists this ribosomal RNA (228 nucleotides) under uncultured bacterium. RNAcentral's name for it is "partial 16S ribosomal RNA". It matches the Rfam family "Bacterial small subunit ribosomal RNA", at positions 15 to 231 of the family's 1533-position model. The record is from RNAcentral.